RNAcentral lists this signal recognition particle RNA (307 nucleotides) under Erythranthe guttata (spotted monkey flower). Its description in RNAcentral is "Mimulus guttatus (spotted monkey flower) Plant signal recognition particle RNA". It matches the Rfam family "Plant signal recognition particle RNA". Lineage: Eukaryota; Viridiplantae; Streptophyta; Magnoliopsida; Lamiales; Phrymaceae. The record is from Rfam by way of RNAcentral.
GCCGAGCUUGGUAACGCGAGCUUGUGACCCAAGUGGGGGCAACAUUGUGAUUGGACAGCUGUCUAGGCUUUCUAGCUGGGCCAAUUGAUGCGAUUAAUUGGCCUGCCCGGUCCAAGUGGCGAGUUGGUCCAUGUGACUCGGGCGUAGGCUUGAGCCACGUGGUUCGUAGAGUGGAGGGCAGCGCGUGCUAGGCUGGUCUCACAGAGCCGCGAAAACCUCCCGCUCACUACAGUGGAAGGAUUACGGGCCAGUGCAUCCUUGGCCCACUUAAGCUAAAUGGGCUAGCUUCAAUUGAACAAUCACUUUU